Molecule: long non-coding RNA, 1643 nt
Organism: Lolium rigidum
Lineage: Eukaryota; Viridiplantae; Streptophyta; Magnoliopsida; Poales; Poaceae
Exons: 2
Source: RefSeq, a predicted model, not a curated record
UCUGAUACUAGUAGAGCAUGUGUGUUGUGAAAAUACAAAUGACAUCAGUAUGUUAGCAGGCGCAAUGCUCAGAAGAGAGGAUGAUUGAAGCUUUUGUUUCACGGGCUUAGUUUUCAGGUCUAGGCACACUGAACAACCAUGGCUGGUAGGAUUUUGUAUGAGGUUGUCAUGCUGUCAUUGGUACGUACCUUAAUUCUGAUUGUAACUUGUGUCACUCUCAACAAAAAAAAGACAGAGUACAUUUGAUCUAGCAAUUAUUUUAAUUCUGUUCUGUAAAAGAAGACAUUUAUUCCCAGCAGUUCAAGGGAAACAUCUGCAUCUGCAUACAACCAACCACAAGAAGUAGGGGAUUCAUGCUGGCAUGCAAUACUGCUAUGCCUUUAGUGCAGAGCUUCAGAUUUCACCAUCCCAGAAAUCCUCCACGGUUUUGUAAAUACCUUGGGGGUGAACUACAAAUUCAGCUCUCAGCGUCUUAAUCUGCAUAUAGAAGACCAAAACAAUCUUAGAUAACCAAUAUCACAGGGUAAUUCUAUGGAUCUACAUGCAAUAUGUUUCUCAACAAUAAUUAUGCAUAACAUGAUUUUUAUUUAAAUGUAAUUUCUGACAAGGGUAUAGCAUUGCAUAAUACUAUCAGGGUAUACUAUAUGGCAAUAUAACCAACAGAACAAAGAUAGGUAGGAACAUUUGCAUGAAGAAUAAAAAUAACAGAGGUGUUGGGGCAUGCCUGUGGGAUUUCAGAGAAUUUUGACAUCAAGUCUUCAGGAAUAGACCAAUCAAAUAUGUCAAAGUUCUCCUUUAUCCUUGUCUCAUUGGUGCUUUUUGGAACUACACUCUGGCCCAUUUGAAGACCCCAGCGUAGAGCAACCUGUGCAGGAGUUUUCUGUAGCUUCUCGGCAACAGAGAUGACAAUAGGGUUGCUAAGAAAGCUUGGACCCUUGAAAGCAGGUGAUCCAGGUCUACCUAGCGGUGAAUAUGCCUGCAAAAACCGAAGUAAAGAAUAUAUGAACAAACUGAAGUGGACUAACUAAUGUAGUAGUAGUGAUUUUGUAGAAACUAGACAGUAGCUGCUUGAAAAAAAACAGAGGAAACAGUCAGUACAUUUGAGAUGUUCACAACUUACAGAAAUAUGAACACCCUUUGACUGACAAAGUGCACGGAGUUUUGUUUGCUGCCAACCUGGAUGGGACUCAACCUGGUUGACUGCUGGAGUUACCCUAGCAAUGGCAAGCAAAUCCUCCAUCCUCUUACAAGAGAAGUUACUCACACCGAUGGCACGAGCCUUGCCAGAGUCAUAUAACUUCUCCAUUGCUCCCCACGUAGCAGGAACAUCAAGAGGAAUAUAGUUUUCAGCAGUUCGGACAGCGCCUUUCUCAGUACGAACUGGAGCAUGGAUCUGCAAAGUAUAGGACAUCAUCAACAAACUAACUAAGUUCUGUUGAACAACAGGCACAUUAAAGGGGCAUCCUCUGAUGUGAUUGAAAGCUACGGGUCAAAUAUUUACCUCCUUCUCAUUGCGGUAUGCCGGAGCACAAUCAAUCUGCCGGUAUCCAGCCUGUAUUGUAAUGGCAUAAAAUUCUUAGAUUUGAAUAAAAUGGUACAGUUUAACUUUUCAUACUUAAGGAGCUCCACUAGCAUUUUUGUGA